RNAcentral lists this ribosomal RNA (467 nucleotides) under uncultured bacterium. RNAcentral's name for it is "partial 16S ribosomal RNA". It matches the Rfam family "Bacterial small subunit ribosomal RNA", at positions 28 to 506 of the family's 1533-position model. The record is from RNAcentral.
GACGAACGCUGGCGGCGUGCUUAACACAUGCAAGUCGAACGGAAAGGCCCUGCUUUUGUGGGGUGCUCGAGUGGCGAACGGGUGAGUAACACGUGAGUAACCUGCCCUUGACUUUGGGAUAACUUCAGGAAACUGGGGCUAAUACCGGAUAGGAGCUCCUGCUGCAUGGUGGGGGUUGGAAAGUUUCGGCGGUUGGGGAUGGACUCGCGGCUUAUCAGCUUGUUGGUGGGGUAGUGGCUUACCAAGGCUUUGACGGGUAGCCGGCCUGAGAGGGUGACCGGCAACAUGGGGACGGAGAUACGGCCCAGACCCCUACGGGGGGAAGCGGGGGGGAAUAUUGCAAAAGGGGCGGACGCCUGAUGCAGCAACGCCGCGUGCGGGAUGACGGCCUUCGGGUUGUAAACCGCUUUCGCCUGUGACGAAGCGUGGGUGACGGUAAUGGGUAAAGAAGCACCGGCUAACUACGG